GAUGCCCUUGAUUCUGUCAUUAGUUUUCUUUGUUUCCACCUCUUCUCUCUAGAUGCAAGCAUUGAGCCAUCUGAGCCUGAGAAAAGUCAAAAGGGAUCUCUAAUACCUGGACCUAGAAGUCAAUGCAGAGGAUUCAUUCUGAUAAAAAACCAUCCACAAAACUCUGCUAUGAAAGAAUAACAGUUCUACAAAAGGAAUUGACUUGAGAGCCUCUACAGGCUGUAAUCCAGGCUCCCCCCGUUCUGCUGGUGACAACUACCUCUGCACCUGGCACUAGCUUCACUGCGAGCACCUCAGAAGGAAGAAUAAAGAUGCGGAGGAUAAUCUAGAAUUGUGGCCCCAUCAGAAUGUUGAGAUGGAAAGCAGGUGUGAAAGUAAAGAGCUUGAUGUUGAAAUACAGAACCUGAUAGAGAAGAAUAACACUUCCCAGUCCUGUGAGGACCCUGAACCUGUUGCUCAAGAGAGUAGGAAUCCUCAGAGAAUUUUGAGUUCCCUUAAGAUCUGUGGAGAAACAAAUGUUCAAGGCCAUUCUGGAUGUGCAUGGGCAGAUGUAAGUGACAUGGAAGCCCCAGCAGACCCACUAGAAUCAAGGCACAUACUAGUGACUAAAAAGAAGACUAUAUCAGCCAGUUCACUGGAACGACAGAUCCUCUCACUGGAAAGACAGAGACGAGAGCUUCUGGAGGUGAACAAGCAAUGGGAUCAUCAAUUCAGAAAUAUGAAACAGCUUUAUGAAAAACAGCUGGCAGAAAUGAAAACAAAACUGGACAUGUCAGAGAGGAGAGUCGGUGAGCUGGAGGAAGAGAGACAUCGACAGCAUCCAGAAAAUGAGAGGCUGCGAGUCCUGGGCAGAGAAAGGCCACUGCAGGACACGAAAGAAACAAAGGUCCUUAGUGAAGCCCUUCAUGAAAUGAAGGAAGAGAACAAGAUUCUGAAGCAGAAGAAUGCCUCAAUGAUCAGAAAGAAAGAACACUAUGAGUGUGAAAUAAGUCGUCUCAAUAAGGCCCUUCUGGAUGUGUUGAAAAAGCAGCACUCACCUGUUCUUGGGACUCCUUCAGAGAAGAAUGACACGAACAGCCUUGAGGACAUGAAAAUCCAACUUGAAGUUCUCAGACAGCAGGUACAAAUAUAUGAAGAAGACUUCAGAAAGGAGAGAUCUGACAGAGAACGACUUAAUGAGGAGAAAGAAGAAUUGCAGAAAAUAAAUGAGAGAUUACAGUCUCAACUGAGUAAACUAAACUGUCAGACAAAAGACCUCCCAGUACAGUCUGAGAGGCUCAGCUACCCACCUUCGCUCUUUCUUUCACCGUGUGUUAAUUAUGGGAGCUGUGGACUCGUUCUUCCCUAUCAAGAUCCUCAAGCACACCCAGCAUCUCGUAGGCCCCAUGAGCAGCAGCAGCACUCGCCAGACUAUCAGUGGUAUGUUCCUGACCAGUUUCCGCCAGAUGUGCAGCACAAGGCAAAUGCUUGAGCGAGUUACUGUCAAAUACAUCUGUGAACCACAGACACCUACUUAACAGUAGAUUCAUCUUCAGAGAAGGGAGCCCAUCGCUGACAGCCUAUGACCUGGAGGAGUGUAGACCAAAGACUACAAGCUAGUCUUGCAACUUCAUUAUUGUUUUGCUCUGCCUUUUCUUUUUUUUUUUCUUCCUCCUAGCUCCUUAUCUCUUCAGUGCACAUUAUUUAUGCCUGCUGAAAUCCCUGUGAGGACAAUAGAAAAAGCAGAUCAUACAGGCUAGUGAUCCUCAGGAUCCAGUUAAACUGCUGGGAAGCAUUAUUGCCCUUUGUUCUGAAGAUGCUGUUUGUGUUGCCUGUGAGAAUCGGUUAAAAAGCCUUAUGAUAAAAGAUGGAGCUAUUGCUGGGGAUUCAGCAACAGUCACAUCUGGUUUGAAUUCAGGAGCUUUUAAGCCCAAUAGGGUUGUGAUUUUUUUUUUUGUUUGAGAAUUACAGUCUUUUUAAUUUGAUUCCACUGAAUGAUUUUUUUUUUAUGAUGUACCAUCUUGAAUUCUGUACACUUUCUCUUGGUUGUUUAGUAAAAAGGAAAUCUGCUUCACCAUUUUAACACAUUUGUGUAAUUGUAAGCAGGGCACCGCUGAUGCCAGGCCAGGUAGAAGGUGCCUACUUCCCUUUUUGAGCCAAGGCCAGCUCUCCUUCUGUUUCCUCCAAAAUUAUAUGAAAAAUGUAACCAGUUUUUCCUGGAUGUACUUAUUUGUAUCAGUAAAAUUUUAGCAGAAAGAUUUCAUGGGUUUAAUUUGUUAGUGAAAAUGGCUUUAUAUUUCCAAAUGAUUCUUGUAAUGAAUCGAGCUGUAAUGAAUCUGAACAUUGUUCUGUAACCUCUAACCUGGGAAUAAAACUGAGCUUGUAAAAUGAA
This is an RNA transcript of Columba livia (rock pigeon), 2371 nucleotides long. It is a transcript of the gene named TNFAIP3 interacting protein 3, with no coding region annotated. The transcript is spliced from 15 exons. The record is from RefSeq and is a predicted model, not a curated record. Lineage: Eukaryota; Metazoa; Chordata; Aves; Columbiformes; Columbidae.